CCUACGGGAGGCUGCAGUGAGGAAUAUUGGUCAAUGGGCGGGAGCCUGAACCAGCCAAGUCGCGUGAAGGAAGAAGGUACUUAGUAUUGUAAACUUCUUUUGUCGGGGAACAAAGGCGGAGACGCGUCUCCGGAUGAGUGUACCCGAAGAAAAAGCCUCGGCGAACUCCGUGCCAGCAGCCGCGGUAAUACGGGGGAUGCGAGCGUUAUCCGGAUUUAUUGGGUGUAAAGGGUGCGCAGGCGGGAGAUCAAGUCAGCGGUAAAAUGGCGGGGCUCAACCCCGGCCGGACGUUGAAACCGGGUUUAUAGAGUGGGAGAGAAGUAUGCGGAAUUCGUGGUGGAGCGGUGAAAUGGAGAG
RNAcentral lists this ribosomal RNA (357 nucleotides) under uncultured bacterium. RNAcentral describes it as "partial 16S ribosomal RNA". It matches the Rfam family "Bacterial small subunit ribosomal RNA", at positions 338 to 693 of the family's 1533-position model. The record is from RNAcentral.